RNAcentral lists this transfer RNA (74 nucleotides) under Chloroflexota bacterium. Its description in RNAcentral is "tRNA-Ser". The record is from RNAcentral. Lineage: Bacteria; Bacillati; Chloroflexota.
GGCUGACCGCAAUCAGCGCGCCGCGACCGAGGUCUGCUAAGCCUUCAUCGCGGGUUCGAUUCCCGCCGUCGCCU